GUGCAAUCACUGCGUCCUUACGGGGGUUGCAAGGCGUCCGAAGUAUGAGUCCACUAACAAAAGUCCAGAAACUCGCCAGUUAAUAGUAUUGUGUCUCUUCAAAAUAUCGGAGAAUAAUUUCUUUCUCGCUGAUCGCCUAACUUCUACUGACGAAGCUUGGAAGUUGCAGAAGACAUGAUGUAUUGAGUAAAAGGAACUUCGGUACACAGGCCUUUAGUGAUGUGGUGGUAAGAUGUAUGGGUCACAGUUUUUACAACUAUCCUAAUGGCCACAGUGUUUGUUGCCCUUCCUCCCACUGAGUAAGGACUUUGUUUUGUAGAUGGAGUAGGAUCUGAACAGAUUUCUUUGACCUUCCCAAAACAGAUUUUGUUCCCCUCUCCCAGAUGGAGUUCGCUCUUGUUGCCCAGGCUGGAAUGCAAUGGCAUGACCUUGGCUCACUGCAACCUCUGCCUCCCCAGUUCAAGUGGUUCUCCUGCCUCAGCCUCCCGAGUAGCUGAGAUUACAGGUACUGGCUCCUGUAUCACCCAGCUCUGGAGUUGAAAGAGCUCUUCAUUCCUGAGUCUCCUGUACCACUGAGAAUAGAAAUACAAAAAAAAUUCUAAAACUUGUAUGGAACUACAAAAGACAUUAAAUAAUCAAAGUAAUCUUGAGCAACAAGGACACAGCUGGAGGCAUCACUCUACCUGAUUUUGUAAUCCAUUAUCAAAAAACUGUGGUACCAGCAUAAAAACAGAUUCACUGACCAGUGGAACAGGAAAGCCCAGACAUAACUCAUACAUUUCCAUCCAAUUGAUUUUUGACAAAAGUGGCACACAGAAUGGGGAGAGGACAAAUAAAUAAAUAAA
Homo sapiens (human) is the source of this 845-nucleotide long non-coding RNA. Ensembl annotates it as JPX transcript, XIST activator. Its record names the gene JPX. Lineage: Eukaryota; Metazoa; Chordata; Mammalia; Primates; Hominidae. The record is from Ensembl.